GAAUUAAUUAUUCAGGUAUUUAAUAAAAUUAUUUUUUUGUUGUAUUAUUUAUUUUAGAAUUAAUUUUUUUAAUUAUAGUUGAUUAGUAAGGUAAUUGAAUUUUUAAAUAUAAUGAAAAUUUAAUAGUUUAAAAGAAGAUUUAAUUUUUUGUACCUUGUGUAUCAGGGUUUAUUAAAUAAUUUCUAAGUAUUUAGGAUUCCCGAAUUUGAUAGGAGCUAGUUAUUAAUAUGUUUUACUGUUUAAUAAUUAUUCUUAAUUAAUAAUUUGAAAUGAAACGUUAUUCGUUUUCAAAUAUAUCUGGUUUUUCAAGAAACUGAUUUAAUCUGGGUUUAUUUAAGACUUUUUUAUUUAUUUAAUUUUGGUUUGAGUAAGUCUAAUAAUUUAGGGGAUAAGCUUUAAAUUAUAUUUUUAAAAAAAUUGUUAUUUUUUAGAUUUGUAGAAUUAGAAUUUUUUUUCAUUUUAGUAUGUUAUUAUUAAUCUAGUUUAAAUGUGAUUUUUAUUUUUUUAAAUUUUUUAUUGAAAAUUUUGUUUUAAUUAUUAAAAUUAAGUUAUAAUGAUGGAAUUAGUACAUUUUUUUGUAGUUUUGUUUAAAAAUGAAAGGUAUAGUUAAGGAAUUCGGCAAAUAUAUUUUUCGCCUGUUUAUUAAAAACAUGGCUUUUAAGUUUAUGAUUAAAAGUUUAGCCUGCCCAAUGAUUAUUUUAAUGGCCGCGGUAUUUUGACCGUGCAAAGGUAGCAUAAUCAUUAGUUUUUUUAUUGAAAGCUGGUAUGAAUGGCUGGACGAGAAAGAUUCUGUCUCUAUUAUAUUUUUUUGGAAUUUUACUUUUAAGUUAAAAGGCUUAAAUUUUCAUGAAAGACGAGAAGACCCUAUAGAGUUUUAUAUUCUAUUAAAUUUUUUUGUAUAAGAAUUGCUGUAAAAAGGUUUGGUAGGAUAUUUAGUUGGGGUGACAGGAAGAUUAAAGUAACUCUUCUUUAUUUUUAUCAUUUUAUAUGUUUAAUUGAUCCGUUUAUUACGAUUAAAAGAUUAAAUUACCUUAGGGAUAACAGCGUUAUUUUCUUAGAGAGUUCUAAUCGAUAAGAAAGUUUGCGACCUCGAUGUUGGAUUAAAAUUAAUUUUUGGUGCAGUAGCUUUAGAAUUAAGUCUGUUCGACUUUUGAAAUUUUACAUGAUCUGAGUUUAAACCGGUGUGAGCCAGGUUGGUUUCUAUCUUUUUGAUUUUAUAAUAUUUUAGUACGAAAGGACCAAAUAUUAGAUAAUUUAUUUAUUUUUGAUUAA
Molecule: ribosomal RNA, 1272 nt
Filed under: Byrrhinus sp. BYR01
Lineage: Eukaryota; Metazoa; Arthropoda; Insecta; Coleoptera; Limnichidae
Description: 16S ribosomal RNA
Rfam family: Archaeal large subunit ribosomal RNA (bases 845-1212)
Source: RNAcentral